UAAGUACCCCGAGGAAAAGAAAUCAACCGAGAUUCCCCCAGUAGCGGCGAGCGAACGGGGAGCAGCCCAGAGCCUGAAUCAGUGUGUGUGUUAGUGGAAGCGUCUGGAAAGGCGCGCGAUACAGGGUGACAGCCCCGUACACAAAAAUGCACAUGCUGUGAGCUCGAUGAGUAGGGCGGGACACGUGGUAUCCUGUCUGAAUAUGGGGGGACCAUCCUCCAAGGCUAAAUACUCCUGACUGACCGAUAGUGAACCAGUACCGUGAGGGAAAGGCGAAAAGAACCCCGGCGAGGGGAGUGAAAAAG
RNAcentral lists this ribosomal RNA (305 nucleotides) under Listeria monocytogenes. RNAcentral's name for it is "partial 23S ribosomal RNA". It matches the Rfam family "Bacterial large subunit ribosomal RNA", at positions 203 to 546 of the family's 2925-position model. The record is from RNAcentral. Lineage: Bacteria; Bacillati; Bacillota; Bacilli; Caryophanales; Listeriaceae.